RNAcentral lists this ribosomal RNA (492 nucleotides) under uncultured bacterium. RNAcentral's name for it is "partial 16S ribosomal RNA". It matches the Rfam family "Bacterial small subunit ribosomal RNA", at positions 29 to 507 of the family's 1533-position model. The record is from RNAcentral.
AGUGAACGCUGGCGGUAGGCCUAACACAUGCCAGUCGAACGGCAGCACAGUAAGAGCUUGCUCUUACGGGUGGCGAGUGGCGGACGGGUGAGGAAUACAUCGGAAUCUACUUUUUCGUGGGGGAUAACGUAGGGAAACUUACGCUAAUACCGCAUACGACCUACGGGUGAAAGCAGGGGAUCUUCGGACCUUGCGCGAUUGAAUGAGCCGAUGUCGGAUUAGCUAGUUGUCGGGGUAAAGGCCCACCAAGGCGACGAUCCGUAGCUGGUCUGAGAGGAUGAUCAGCCACACUGGAACUGAGACACGGUCCAGACUCCUACGGGAGGCAGCAGUGGGGAAUAUUGGACAAUGCGCGCAAGCCUGAUCCAGCCAUACCGCGUGGGUGAAGAAGGCCUUCGGGUUGUAAAGCCCUUUUGUUGGGAAAGAAAAGCAGCAGGUUAAUACCCCGCUGUUCUGACGGUACCCAAAGAAUAAGCACCGGCUAACUUCGUG